GGGCCCGCACAAGCGGUGGAGCAUGUGGUUUAAUUCGAUGCAACGCGAAGAACCUUACCUGCCCUUGACAUACAGCGAACCCUUCAGAGAUGAGGGGGUGCCGAAAGGAGCGCUGAUACAGGUGCUGCAUGGCUGUCGUCAGCUCGUGUCGUGAGAUGUUGGGUUAAGUCCCGUAACGAGCGCAACCCUUAUUCUUAGUUACCAGCGGGUCAAGCCGGGGACAUUAAGAAGACUGCCGGUGACAAACCGGAGGAAGGCGGGGAUGAUGUCAAGUCAUCAUGGCCCUUAUGGGCAGGGCUACACACGUGCUACAAUGGUUGGUACAGAGGGAAGCAAAGCGGCGACGUGGAGCAAAUCUCACAAAGCCAAUCGUAGUCCGGAUUGAAGUCUGCAACUCGACUUCAUG
This 406-nucleotide ribosomal RNA is filed under the name uncultured bacterium. Its description in RNAcentral is "bacterial SSU rRNA". It matches the Rfam family "Bacterial small subunit ribosomal RNA", at positions 917 to 1322 of the family's 1533-position model. The record is from RNAcentral.